Molecule: long non-coding RNA, 533 nt
Organism: Malurus melanocephalus (red-backed fairy wren)
Lineage: Eukaryota; Metazoa; Chordata; Aves; Passeriformes; Maluridae
Exons: 3
Source: RefSeq, a predicted model, not a curated record
GACACGGAACGGACACGGAACGGACAGCACAAGGCAGGAGCGGGAGCUGCUGCGGCCAGCCCGUGGGAAAAGCGUCCCGCCGGGACAUCGCACCCUUUACAACCUGAAAUGAGAUGCCAGAACCACGGGCGGGCGAUUUCUGAGGAUCCCCGCACUUGGAGGGCCCGAAUCACGGAAAACUUGUAUUUCGGAGUCGAGGUUUUAAGCGUCGGACGGGGUUGUCUGCAGGAGUGACUGAGAGUCACGCGUUGGCGCGACUUGCUAGAAAUUGCCCAACUUUUAUACUUAAAAACUGUACUUACACUUUGUAAAAAAAUGACUCGGGCACAGUCCAGCCAGAAGAGAUUGCCUGCAAGGGUUAGUGCUCCUGUCCUCCGAAAAGCUGCAAGCAGCCUCUCCAGCAGCAGCCAAGCCACUUUCUGGGCACAGGAAUGUAAGGGAGUCAGGAAGAAAAGCCCUAUCCUUGGCAGCGUUUAAGGCUUGUUCCAGUCGGGACCUCACACAUACUGGGAGAUACAAGAAUGUAGAAAAGC